This 1460-nucleotide ribosomal RNA is filed under the name uncultured organism. RNAcentral describes it as "SSU rRNA". It matches the Rfam family "Bacterial small subunit ribosomal RNA". The record is from RNAcentral.
GAUGAACGCUAGCUACAGGCUUAACACAUGCAAGUCGAGGGGCAGCAUGGUCUUAGCUUGCUAAGGCCGAUGGCGACCGGCGCACGGGUGAGUAACACGUAUCCAACCUGCCGUCUACUCUUGGACAGCCUUCUGAAAGGAAGAUUAAUACAAGAUGGCAUCAUGAGUCCGCAUGUUCACAUGAUUAAAGGUAUUCCGGUAGACGAUGGGGAUGCGUUCCAUUAGAUAGUAGGCGGGGUAACGGCCCACCUAGUCUUCGAUGGAUAGAGGUUCUGAGAGGAAGGUCCCCCACAUUGGAACUGAGACACGGUCCAAACUCCUACGGGAGGCAGCAGUGAGGAAUAUUGGUCAAUGGGCGAGAGCCUGAACCAGCCAAGUAGCGUGAAGGAUGACUGCCCUAUGGGUUGUAAACUUCUUUUAUAAAGGAAUAAAGUCGGGUAUGGAUACCCGUUUGCAUGUACUUUAUGAAUAAGGAUCGGCUAACUCCGUGCCAGCAGCCGCGGUAAUACGGAGGAUCCGAGCGUUAUCCGGAUUUAUUGGGUUUAAAGGGAGCGUAGAUGGAUGUUUAAGUCAGUUGUGAAAGUUUGCGGCUCAACCGUAAAAUUGCAGUUGAUACUGGAUAUCUUGAGUGCAGUUGAGGCAGGCGGAAUUCGUGGUGUAGCGGUGAAAUGCUUAGAUAUCACGAAGAACUCCGAUUGCGAAGGCAGCCUGCUAAGCUGCAACUGACAUUGAGGCUCGAAAGUGUGGGUAUCAAACAGGAUUAGAUACCCUGGUAGUCCACACGGUAAACGAUGAAUACUCGCUGUUUGCGAUAUACUGCAAGCGGCCAAGCGAAAGCGUUAAGUAUUCCACCUGGGGAGUACGCCGGCAACGGUGAAACUCAAAGGAAUUGACGGGGGCCCGCACAAGCGGAGGAACAUGUGGUUUAAUUCGAUGAUACGCGAGGAACCUUACCCGGGCUUAAAUUGCAGAUGAAUUACGGUGAAAGCCGUAAGCCGCAAGGCAUCUGUGAAGGUGCUGCAUGGUUGUCGUCAGCUCGUGCCGUGAGGUGUCGGCUUAAGUGCCAUAACGAGCGCAACCCUUGUUGUCAGUUACUAACAGGUUCCGCUGAGGACUCUGACAAGACUGCCAUCGUAAGGUGUGAGGAAGGUGGGGAUGACGUCAAAUCAGCACGGCCCUUACGUCCGGGGCUACACACGUGUUACAAUGGGGAGUACAGAGGGCCGCUACCACGCGAGUGGAUGCCAAUCCCCAAAAUCUCUCUCAGUUCGGACUGGAGUCUGCAACCCGACUCCACGAAGCUGGAUUCGCUAGUAAUCGCGCAUCAGCCACGGCGCGGUGAAUACGUUCCCGGGCCUUGUACACACCGCCCGUCAAGCCAUGGGAGCCGGGGGUACCUGAAGUGCGUAACCGCGAGGAGCGCCCUAGGGUAAAACUGGUGACUGGGGCUAAGUCAUAAC